This 548-nucleotide ribosomal RNA is filed under the name uncultured Bifidobacterium sp. RNAcentral's name for it is "bacterial SSU rRNA". It matches the Rfam family "Bacterial small subunit ribosomal RNA", at positions 147 to 710 of the family's 1533-position model. The record is from RNAcentral. Lineage: Bacteria; Bacillati; Actinomycetota; Actinomycetes; Bifidobacteriales; Bifidobacteriaceae.
CUCCUGGAAACGGGUGGUAAUGCCGGAUGUUCCAGUUGAUCGCAUGGUCUUCUGGGAAAGCUUUCGCGGUAUGGGAUGGGGUCGCGUCCUAUCAGCUUGACGGCGGGGUAACGGCCCGCCGUGGCUUCGACGGGUAGCCGGCCUGAGAGGGCGACCGGCCACAUUGGGACUGAGAUACGGCCCAGACUCCUACGGGAGGCAGCAGUGGGGAAUAUUGCACAAUGGGCGCAAGCCUGAUGCAGCGACGCCGCGUGAGGGAUGGAGGCCUUCGGGUUGUAAACCUCUUUUAUCGGGGAGCAAGCGUGAGUGAGUUUACCCGUUGAAUAAGCACCGGCUAACUACGUGCCAGCAGCCGCGGUAAUACGUAGGGUGCAAGCGUUAUCCGGAAUUAUUGGGCGUAAAGGGCUCGUAGGCGGUUCGUCGCGUCCGGUGUGAAAGUCCAUCGCUUAACGGUGGAUCCGCGCCGGGUACGGGCGGGCUUGAGUGCGGUAGGGGAGACUGGAAUUCCCGGUGUAACGGUGGAAUGUGUAGAUAUCGGGAAGAACACC